Molecule: ribosomal RNA, 253 nt
Filed under: uncultured bacterium
Lineage: Bacteria
Description: partial 16S ribosomal RNA
Rfam family: Bacterial small subunit ribosomal RNA
Source: RNAcentral
UACAGAGGUCUCAAGCGUUGUUCGGAUUCAUUGGGCGUAAAGGGUGUGUAGGUGGCGCGCUAAGUCGGGUGUGAAAUUUCGGAGCUUAACUCCGAAACUGCAUUCGAUACUGGCGUGCUUGAGGACUGGAGAGGAGAUUGGAAUUCACAGUGGAGCAGUGAAAUGCGUAGAUAUUGUGAGGAACACUAGUGGCGAAGGCGAAUCUCUGGACAGUUCCUGACGCUGAGGCACGAAGGCCAGGGGAGCAAACGGG